Molecule: long non-coding RNA, 236 nt
Filed under: Trifolium pratense (red clover)
Lineage: Eukaryota; Viridiplantae; Streptophyta; Magnoliopsida; Fabales; Fabaceae
Description: long non-coding RNA (TPRA_LNC009569)
Source: RNAcentral
UCAUGGAGGACAUCAUCGAUAGUGCUUUGCCUUGAUGAGGAGGAACUACCUGCAAAAGUGUUAGAAAAAUGUGUAGGGUGUGCAGGUGGAACAAUGCUUGCACCCCCACCAGUGGCAACAUUUUGAGAAAUGUGCGUGGGAGCUCUAUUAGUCACAGGAUCAUCAGAGAUAGUCAUAAAAAAAAUCAAAAAUAAAAGAAAGCAAAAAUUAAACAAGAAUUAAAGAAAACUCAUGGG